GAUGAACGCUAGCUACAGGCUUAACACAUGCAAGUCGGGGGGAAACGAUAUUGGAAGCCUGCUUCCGAUAGGCGUCGACCGGCGCACGGGUGAGUAACGCGUAACCAACCUGCCCACCACUUGGGGAUAACCUUGCGAAAGUAAGACUAAUACCCAAUGAUGUCCAUAGAAGACAUCUGAAAUGGAUUAAAGAUUUAUCGGUGAUGGAUGGGGAUGCGUCUGAUUAGCUUGUUGGCGGGGUAACGGCCCACCAAGGCGACGAUCAGUAGGGGUUCUGAGAGGAAGGUCCCCCACAUUGGAACUGAGACACGGUCAAACUCCUACGGGAGGCAGCAGUGAGGAAUAUUGGUCAAUGGGCGAGAGCCUGAACCAGCCAAGUAGCGUGCAGGACGACGGCCCUAUGGGUUGUAAACUGCUUUUAUAAGGGAAUAAAGUGAGCCUCGUGAGGCUUUUUGCAUGUACCUUAUGAAUAAGGACCGGCUAAUUCCGUGCCAGCAGCCGCAGUAA
This 507-nucleotide ribosomal RNA is filed under the name uncultured bacterium. RNAcentral's name for it is "partial 16S ribosomal RNA". It matches the Rfam family "Bacterial small subunit ribosomal RNA", at positions 28 to 523 of the family's 1533-position model. The record is from RNAcentral.